RNAcentral lists this long non-coding RNA (1121 nucleotides) under Oryza sativa tropical japonica subgroup. Its description in RNAcentral is "lncRNA OsCMeo_06g0010820". The stretch from base 248 to 412 matches the Rfam family "MIR444 microRNA precursor family". The record is from RNAcentral. Lineage: Eukaryota; Viridiplantae; Streptophyta; Magnoliopsida; Poales; Poaceae. RNAcentral also lists the same sequence under 1 other name.
AACGACCCCACUAAUCUCUCCCUCUCCCUCUCGUCGAAAUUCCAAUUCCACUCGCCUCGCCUCGCCUCCCCCACCUUCCGAUUCGCUCGCGUAUUAUAUUGCGCCGUCUCGAGACUUCUAGAUCCUUCCAGUGGAACCCGCCGCCGCUUCUGGAUCCUUCUCCUGCCCCUCAUUUUAAGCGCCACCUCCCCCGCCCCCCCACGCCACCGACCGAGCUGCCGGCGGAGGUGCGAAGCCAUCGAGUUAUUGCAUAUGGUGGCACCAAGCAUGAGGUUACAACUGCAUUACUUGCAAGGGAAUCACAAGUCACAAGAAACACAUGUUAUUACAAUGGAUAAUCAAUGGGUCAUCAUACUAUGACUUUCUUGCAAGUUGUGCAGUUGUUGCCUCAAGCUUGCUGCCUCCGUCUGUCAGAACUGCAACUAAGCUAGGAAGUUCAAUCAGGUUUUUUUUUUUUAUCUUGAACAGUAAAUUCAAUGUUGACAAUUAAUGUAGUAAUGAUUUCUUAAGGAAUGAAUACUAAUUUUGUGUUCAUGGGGAUCGAUAGUCUUUUUUAAACAUCAUGUUUAAACACGAUCAUUACUGGUGCUUUGAGUAGAGCCUAAUACUGCAUUACUAUUUAUUGCUUGCUGUUAUAGUUUGUUACGUACCAUGUCCAUUCCUUAAGGAAGCUAACAAUAGAUCUAUCUUUUGUAUUUUCCUCUUCGUGACACCUUUUUCAAUUGGAUACGUGCAGUAUAAAACUAUCGAAUUCACAUUAAGAGUGCGAUAUAUUUUGGGAUCUUCAUUCUCCUUAUUUGAAUCAUGAUCUUGUUCACAGUAUAUAUUCUAUGUAAUAUGAGUAUGACUACAUGGAACACCUACUAUGUCCUCGAUAAAUUAUAAGUAGCUUUUGAUCCUCCUAAGAUUUUUAUCUUAUGAACACAUGAUUACCAUUGACUGUUUUCUUGGGAAAAAAAUUAACAUGACCCGCUUGUUUCAGGUCAGCUUGUGACCUGUAUUGUACGUUAGUAUUAUUGUUUUAUGGUGUAAUUGCUAGUAGUUAUCAACCCAUGCACCUGUACGGGCUAGAAAUUUAAAACAUGUUUGCCUAGUGCCGAAUAAUUUAGGAUUUACUAAAU